ACUUUCAUUUCAUAAUCUAAAUAUGUUCAUCGUUUCCAUGUGUAGAUUGAGACAUUUAGUGGGAAAGGGCGGAGAGGGUGUUGCUUCUCUUGCUUGUGAUGCUUGUUUUAUGGGAAACGGCGUUGCUCCUCCAUUGACUACUCCGAAUUGCACGUUAGGGUUUCCUGCUUCGGAUUUGCUGAUUUGAGGAAGUUACUGGUCUUAAUUGGAAAGUUGUGCAAAUCUAAGUGACUACGGAUUAGCUCAUGACUUUAUCUUCAUGAAAAAGGUGAUGUGACAAUAGAUAUUGCAAUUUGUCUUCCCUUUUCACGUGUAGUUUAAAAGAUUAUAGAAAGUUAAACACUAUUGUCAGUCAAGGUGUCAUGGAUAAUCUUAUGGAUUAAAUGCAUAAAGCUCAUGCACAACAAAAUCUUCCAAGAUUUGUAGGCAUUGCAUAUGGAAGAUAGAGCUAUUUGCAUCUGAAGAACAAGCCAAACAAGGGUGUUGCUGAUCGAGAUCCCACCUUAGAACGACAAGUGUUUCAUAGGAACUGAAUCACUGAUUGUAAAUUGUAGGAUGCAACAUUCUAACAAAAAAGAAUUUUAAUUGUAUUGGAUAUCAUAUAGUUAUUUUAUGGUCUAUAAUUCGUAAGAUGUUUCUGCAUUGUGUGAUUAGUAAUUGUAAUGACAAAAAUUAGAAAGGACUUGAAUAGUUAGAAGUUGAAAAGGAGUCUCAUAGAAUAAAAAAUUUUCUCAAAAAGAUCGAUCACUUUUAAGUUAAUAUUGAUCUUUAAAAUGCUAAGCGAAUGCAAGUAUAUUCCAUUCAGUCAAGGUUGUAUAGGUCUAGAUCCUAAAUGAUAAGGGGGCAUAAGAUGGGAGUGUAGGUUUGUAAGCACCUACCCAGUUCAUUCAGUACGCCUGGUCAGCCAACCUAUUCAGUCCAUCCAUCUUAUUUAUCUUUAUUUAUACUUGAAAUGAUAAAGCAUAUUAUAUUUACCAGAGAUUGAAUAAUCAUUGCAUUUAUCAAACUAGAAUGAUAACAUCCACACGUUGAAAUAAAAUAAUUGCUGAAAUUACCCAUUCCAUUCCCACCUACCAAACUUGCCUAAGAGUUUAAGAUUGUAAGAGGUAGAUUCCCUGGAAAGAUCCAUUAUUUUGAAAGGUUACACAAUAUGUACGAAUUAGUGUUUUUCUGAAUUCUCUCCGUGACAAGUUCUUUAAUUUGCUCUUGGCA
Molecule: long non-coding RNA, 1212 nt
Organism: Zingiber officinale
Lineage: Eukaryota; Viridiplantae; Streptophyta; Magnoliopsida; Zingiberales; Zingiberaceae
Exons: 3
Source: RefSeq, a predicted model, not a curated record